UGCCCCCCCUCCAAACACCGUCUGCCAGCGAGGUGGUCGGGCGUUUGUUUUCACUAACACAUCUGGUACAUGUGAUUUUGAAGCAGACACUUAUAUUCAGACCAAAAAAUGUACAGACAACACUGAUGUGUGUGAUUUCACCAGCGGUACGACUCCACCACCUCUCACCAUCCCAGAGAGUAGAAACCAGGACCAGGGAGGCUCUAGAACACAUUACAUCCUGAUAGUUGCU
Long non-coding RNA from Betta splendens (Siamese fighting fish), 232 nucleotides. RefSeq lists it as uncharacterized. NCBI's taxonomy places the organism in Eukaryota, Metazoa, Chordata, Actinopteri, Anabantiformes, Osphronemidae. The transcript is spliced from 3 exons. The record is from RefSeq and is a predicted model, not a curated record.